CGGAAUAGCUCAGUUGGUAGAGCAGAGGACU
RNAcentral lists this transfer RNA (31 nucleotides) under Homalia lusitanica. RNAcentral describes it as "partial tRNA-Phe". The record is from RNAcentral. Lineage: Eukaryota; Viridiplantae; Streptophyta; Bryopsida; Hypnales; Neckeraceae.